This 497-nucleotide ribosomal RNA is filed under the name uncultured bacterium. Its description in RNAcentral is "partial 16S ribosomal RNA". It matches the Rfam family "Bacterial small subunit ribosomal RNA", at positions 28 to 507 of the family's 1533-position model. The record is from RNAcentral.
GAUGAACGCUGGCGGCGUGCCUAAUACAUGCAAGUCGAGCGAACAGAUGAGGAGCUUGCUCCUCUGACGUUAGCGGCGGACGGGUGAGUAACACGUGGAUAACCUACCUAUAAGACUGGGAUAACUUCGGGAAACCGGAGCUAAUACCGGAUAAUAUAUCGAACCGCAUGGUUCAAUAGUGAAAGACGGUUUUGCUGUCACUUAUAGAUGGAUCCGCGCCGCAUUAGCUAGUUGGUAAGGUAACGGCUUACCAAGGCAACGAUGCGUAGCCGACCUGAGAGGGUGAUCGGCCACACUGGAACUGAGACACGGUCCAGACUCCUACGGGAGGCAGCAGUAGGGAAUCUUCCGCAAUGGGCGAAAGCCUGACGGAGCAACGCCGCGUGAGUGAUGAAGGUCUUCGGAUCGUAGAGCGCUGUCAUUAGGGAAGAACAAAUGUGUAAGUAACUAUGCACGUCUUGACGGUACCUAAUCAGAAAGCCACGGCUAACUACGUG